Molecule: long non-coding RNA, 298 nt
Organism: Atta colombica
Lineage: Eukaryota; Metazoa; Arthropoda; Insecta; Hymenoptera; Formicidae
Exons: 3
Source: RefSeq, a predicted model, not a curated record
GAUAUGUCUUGUCAUUUUAACGUUGGAAAAGUUCGCAACUCUGUCUUCGAAUCGAUUGUGACUUUUUCUUCAUAUUCUAAUCUCUGCUGAUUAUAAAACGAUGAGAAACUGCACAAAGGAUCGUUGGAUUUCUUUAUUAAGAAUGCGGCGAAUACGGGAGAUGGUCGGCUCCAAAUGAGUGGCGUCGCGACUUAUUGAAUUGGCACUGUCUACAUAUCACAAAGUAAACAAUGGGAAGAGAAGAGAUACGAAAAGCAGGUUUGACAAUUCUGUGAGGAAGAGGAAGAGGAGGAGGAGG